CACACGACUCUCGGCAACGGAUAUCUCGGCUCUCGCGUCGAUGAAGAACGUAGCGAAAUGCGAUACCUGGUGUGAAUUGCAGAAUCCCGCGAACCAUCGAGUCUUUGAACGCAAGUUGCGCCCGAGGCCACCCGGCCGAGGGCACGCCUGCCUGGGCGUCACGC
This 164-nucleotide ribosomal RNA is filed under the name Kengyilia tahelacana. Its description in RNAcentral is "5.8S ribosomal RNA". It matches the Rfam family "5.8S ribosomal RNA". Rfam says of the family: 5.8S ribosomal RNA (5.8S rRNA) is a component of the large subunit of the eukaryotic ribosome. It is transcribed by RNA polymerase I as part of the 45S precursor that also contains 18S and 28S rRNA. Functionally, it is thought that 5.8S rRNA may be involved in ribosome translocation. The record is from RNAcentral. Lineage: Eukaryota; Viridiplantae; Streptophyta; Magnoliopsida; Poales; Poaceae.